UGGGGAAUAUUGGACAAUGGGCGCAAGCCUGAUCCAGCCAUGCCGCGUGAGUGAUGAAGGCCCUAGGGUUGUAAAGCUCUUUCACCGGUGAAGAUAAUGACGGUAACCGGAGAAGAAGCCCCGGCUAACUUCGUGCCAGCAGCCGCGGUAAUACGAAGGGGGCUAGCGUUGUUCGGAUUUACUGGGCGUAAAGCGCACGUAGGCGGACUAUUAAGUUAGGGGUGAAAUCCCGGGGCUCAACCCCGGAACUGCCUUUGAUACUGGUAGUCUGGAGUUCGAGAGGGGUGAGUGGAAUUCCGAGUGUAGAGGUGAAAUUCGUAGAUAUUCGGAGGAACACCAGUGGCGAAGGCGGCUCACUGGCUCGAUACUGACGCUGAGGUGCGAAAGCGUGGGGAGCAAACAGG
RNAcentral lists this ribosomal RNA (404 nucleotides) under Verrucomicrobiota bacterium. RNAcentral describes it as "Verrucomicrobia bacterium partial 16S ribosomal RNA". It matches the Rfam family "Bacterial small subunit ribosomal RNA", at positions 355 to 776 of the family's 1533-position model. The record is from RNAcentral. Lineage: Bacteria; Pseudomonadati; Verrucomicrobiota.